UUAACAUGAGAGUUUGAUCCUGGCUCAGGACGAACGCUGGCGGCGUGCCUAACACAUGCAAGUCGAGCGAAGUUUAUUUAGCAGCGACUUCGGUCAAAGCUGAUUAAACUUAGCGGCGAACGGGUGAGUAACACGUAGGCAACCUGCCCAUGACACGGGGAUAGCUUCGGGAAACCGGAGGUAAUACCCGAUACCUUUACUUAUUGCAUGAUAAGUAAAGAAAGCGAAUAGCGGUCAUGGAUGGGCCUGCGUCCCAUUAGCUAGUUGGUGAGAUAACAGCCCACCAAGGCGACGAUGGGUAGCCGACCUGAGAGGGUGACCGGCCACACUGGAACUGAGACACGGUCCAGACUCCUACGGGAGGCAGCAGUGGGGAAUCUUGCGCAAUGGGCGAAAGCCUGACGCAGCGACGCCGCGUGAGCGAAGAAGGCCUUCGGGUCGUAAAGCUCAGUCAUUGGGGAUGAGAUGACAGUACCCAAGGAGGAAGCCCCGGCUAACUACGUGCCAGCAGCCGCGGUAAUA
RNAcentral lists this ribosomal RNA (522 nucleotides) under Tepidanaerobacter sp. RNAcentral's name for it is "bacterial SSU rRNA". It matches the Rfam family "Bacterial small subunit ribosomal RNA", at positions 1 to 525 of the family's 1533-position model. Lineage: Bacteria; Bacillati; Bacillota; Clostridia; Thermosediminibacterales; Tepidanaerobacteraceae. The record is from RNAcentral.